CACGCCGUAAACUAUGAUUACUGGUUGUUUGCGAUAUAUUGUAAGUGACUGAGUGAAAGCAUUAAGUAAUCCACCUGGGGAGUACGUCGGCAACGAUGAAACUCAAAGGAAUUGACGGGG
Molecule: ribosomal RNA, 120 nt
Filed under: uncultured bacterium
Lineage: Bacteria
Description: partial 16S ribosomal RNA
Rfam family: Bacterial small subunit ribosomal RNA
Source: RNAcentral